This 468-nucleotide ribosomal RNA is filed under the name uncultured bacterium. RNAcentral describes it as "partial 16S ribosomal RNA". It matches the Rfam family "Bacterial small subunit ribosomal RNA", at positions 28 to 507 of the family's 1533-position model. The record is from RNAcentral.
GAUGAACGCUGGCGGCGUGCUUAACACAUGCAAGUCGAACGGUGAAGGCGGAGCUUGCUCUGCUGGAUCAGUGGCGAACGGGUGAGUAACACGUGAGCAAUCUGCCCCUGACUCUGGGAUAAGCGCUGGAAACGGCGUCUAAUACUGGAUACGAGCUGCGAAGGCAUCUUCAGCAGCUGGAAAGAACUUCGGUCAGGGAUGAGCUCGCGGCCUAUCAGCUUGUUGGUGAGGUAGCGGCUCACCAAGGCGUUGACGGGUAGCCGGCCUGAGAGGGUGACCGGCCACACUGGGACUGAGACACGGCCCAGACUCCUACGGGAGGCAGCAGUGGGGAAUAUUGCACAAUGGGCGAAAGCCUGAUGCAGCAACGCCGCGUGAGGGAUGACGGCCUUCGGGUUGUAAACCUCUUUUAGCAGGGAAGAAGCGAAAGUGACGGUACCGGCAGAAAAAGCGCCGGCUAACUACGUG